GGAAAGACCCCGUGAACCUUUACUGCAGCUUGACACUGAACUUUGACCUUACUUGUGUAGGAUAGGUGGGAGGCUUUGAAGCUGGAACGCUAGUUCCAGUGGAGCCGUCCUUGAAAUACCACCCUGGUAAUGUUGAGGUUCUAACUCUGUCCCGUGAUCCGGGACGAGGACCGUGUCUGGUGGGUAGUUUGACUGGGGCGGUCUCCUCCUAAAGAGUAACGGAGGAGUACGAAGGUGCGCUCAGCGUGGUCGGAAAUCACGCGUAGAGUAUAAAGGCAAAAGCGCGCUUAACUGCGAGACCCACAAGUCGAGCAGGUACGAAAGUAGGUCUUAGUGAUCCGGUGGUUCUGUAUGGAAGGGCCAUCGCUCAACGGAUAAAAGGUACUCUGGGGAUAACAGGCUGAUACCGCCCAAGAGUUCAUAUCGACGGCGGUGUUUGGCACCUCGAUGUCGGCUCAUCUCAUCCUGGGGCUGAAGCAGGUCCCAAGGGUAUGGCUGUUCGCCAUUUAAAGAGGUACGCGAGCUGGGUUUAGAACGUCGUGAGACAGUUCGGUCCCUAUCUACCGUGGGCGCUGGAAAUUUGAGAGGAUCUGCUCCUAGUACGAGAGGACCAGAGUGGACGAACCUCUGGUGUACCGGUUGUGACGCCAGUCGCAUCGCCGGGUAGCUAUGUUCGGAAGGGAUAACCGCUGAAAGCAUCUAAGCGGGAAGCCUACCUCAAGAUAAGAUUUCCCUAGGACUUUAUGUCCUCUAAAGAGCCGUUCGAGACUAGGACGUUGAUAGGUUGGAUGUGGAAGCAUAGUGAUAUGUGAAGCUGACCAAUACUAAUUGCUCGUGAGGCUUGACUAU
Molecule: ribosomal RNA, 849 nt
Filed under: Acinetobacter baumannii
Lineage: Bacteria; Pseudomonadati; Pseudomonadota; Gammaproteobacteria; Moraxellales; Moraxellaceae
Description: partial 23S ribosomal RNA
Rfam family: Bacterial large subunit ribosomal RNA
Source: RNAcentral